GUAGCUACAGGAUACCUGGUGCUUAGGCCCCUUAAGGACUCCACUCCUGAGCAAGGUCAUAAAUUCUAGCACUUUACAUACCGAAGCUUAGGAAGACAGAAUAUCAGAUCAAGAUUCUCUCUCUAGCAGAGAUUGGAGAUUCCUGAGUGAGAAGAGUGGAAUAUGAGAAGGAUGAAAGCCUGUACAGUUCCUGGACUACCUGCCCAUAUAUCUUCCCUUGAGGAAGAAACACAGUGACAAGAACAGAAACAGGUUCAUACAUUCAGUCUGUAUUUGCUGUUACUAUUAGCAAGGCUUCAUACACCACUCACAGUACAUACACAGGCCAUAGGAUACUUUGAAGGCUGAAUUGAUCCAUUAGCCUGUGGUGCUACAAGCCUGGGCCGCAAUAAUGCUGUAUCCCUCCAGAGGCCUGGCGUGAAAUCAAAUAGGAGCAAUGAGAAUAAAUACGUGUGCCUGAGUCAAAGAAGAAAGGAAGCCACUUCCAGCCUGGCUAAGGAGAAAGAAGCAAGAGUACAGGGAAAAUGGGGACCAGGUCUACCUUUUGCCAGGAGGUAGACUUAUUUAUCUGGUUUGUACAACCUGAUGGUUUUUUGUGUUGCCAUAAUAG
Molecule: long non-coding RNA, 610 nt
Filed under: Mus spicilegus (steppe mouse)
Lineage: Eukaryota; Metazoa; Chordata; Mammalia; Rodentia; Muridae
Description: lncRNA (ENSMSIG00000030758.1)
Source: RNAcentral